This 567-nucleotide long non-coding RNA is filed under the name Cyanistes caeruleus (blue tit). Its description in RNAcentral is "lncRNA (ENSCCEG00000016041.1)". Lineage: Eukaryota; Metazoa; Chordata; Aves; Passeriformes; Paridae. The record is from RNAcentral.
AUGACGGACCGACACACGAGUGCUACUCAUUGAAAAUACACAGCUGCACUGGUGAAGCUGUCAGUGAAAGGAAGCAAGAGGUUUUGGCAGCUGCAAGAGGGGAAGAGGUGAGGCCCUGGACUCAUGAGAAGGCGUUGGAGAUCUCUGGAGUCUGAUGACGUUUUUGGCCAUCUGAAGAAAACUCAUUUCAUCCCCACCCUUUUGUGAAUAAGGCAGAGGAUACUUUGAGGAGCACAUUGACAGAAGCCCUCAAAAUUCUUGUAAGUACCAUUUUUCUGAAAGUCAUUAAAAGAAAAAUAAAUCUAAAACUUCCUAUCUUGCCUGCUCUAACAGCAACAUUUUCUCUAAGGUCAUCACCAGAUGACUAGAAUGUUUUGUUUACCUUUUGGUCUAAUCAGAGAAGAUAGAUUUUGUUUUGGGAAGAUGUUUGGUUUGUAAUGCAAAGUGCUCACUGAAAGAUGUUUCUGUUUUCUCUGUGUGUAAGGUUUUCCAGAGUCUUUGGUGGUGGCACCAGCUGUGUUUCACAGCCUGCUCACCCAGGAACAGGAUGUUAAAGGACUCACCACA